ACAACUUUCAACAACGGAUCUCUUGGUUCUGGCAUCGAUGAAGAACGCAGCGAAAUGCGAUAAGUAGUGUGAAUUGCAGAAUUCAGUGAAUCAUCGAAUCUUUGAACGCACAUU
RNAcentral lists this ribosomal RNA (114 nucleotides) under Plenodomus tracheiphilus. RNAcentral describes it as "5.8S rRNA". It matches the Rfam family "5.8S ribosomal RNA", at positions 1 to 112 of the family's 154-position model. From Rfam's summary of the family: 5.8S ribosomal RNA (5.8S rRNA) is a component of the large subunit of the eukaryotic ribosome. It is transcribed by RNA polymerase I as part of the 45S precursor that also contains 18S and 28S rRNA. Functionally, it is thought that 5.8S rRNA may be involved in ribosome translocation. Lineage: Eukaryota; Fungi; Ascomycota; Dothideomycetes; Pleosporales; Leptosphaeriaceae. The record is from RNAcentral.